Molecule: transfer RNA, 69 nt
Filed under: Leptocimbex sp. CSCS-Hym-MC0166
Lineage: Eukaryota; Metazoa; Arthropoda; Insecta; Hymenoptera; Cimbicidae
Description: tRNA-Ser
Source: RNAcentral
GAAAUAUGUAGAUUCAAAUAAAAGCUUCUAACUUUUUAUUUUUAACGAUUUAAUUUCGUUUAUAUUUCU